RNAcentral lists this non-coding RNA (216 nucleotides) under Methylovorus glucosotrophus. RNAcentral also lists the same sequence under 1 other name. The record is from RNAcentral. Lineage: Bacteria; Pseudomonadati; Pseudomonadota; Betaproteobacteria; Nitrosomonadales; Methylophilaceae.
AUCCUAUGCACGUUAUCUGGUGCCCGAUUUGCUGCUCUGCAAACCGGGUGAAACUGGGAAACAGGUGCGUUGACGAUUAAUCGAGCAACUAUUCCUGUGCUGCCCCCGCAACGGUAAUUACGUGCGGUUCAUUCAACAAGCCACUGUGCACAUGCAUGGGAAGGCGAAUGAACAAAACGUAUAAGCCCGGAGACCGGCCCGAUAGCUCACAAGCAG